GACGAACGCUGGCGGCGUGCUUAACACAUGCAAGUCGAACGGUGAAGGCGGAGCUUGCUCUGCCGGAUCAGUGGCGAACGGGUGAGUAACACGUGGGCAACCUGCCCCUCACUUCGGGAUAACUCCGGGAAACCGGGGCUAAUACCGGAUACGACCUCCUUGGGCAUCUUUGGAGGUGGAAAGUUUUUCGGUGAGGGAUGGGCCCGCGGCCUAUCAGCUUGUUGGUGAGGUAGUGGCGCACCAAGGCGACGACGGGUAGCCGGCCUGGGAGGGCGACCGGCCACACUGGGACUGAGACACGGCCCAGACUCCUACGGGAGGCAGCAGUGGGGAAUAUUGCGCAAUGGGCGAAAGCCUGACGCAGCAACGCCGCGUGCGGGAUGAAGGCCUUCGGGUUGUAAACCGCUUUCAGCAGGGAAGAAGCCGCAAGGUGACGGUACCUGCAGAAGAAGCACCGGCUAACUACGUGCCAGCCGCCGCAGUAA
Molecule: ribosomal RNA, 485 nt
Filed under: uncultured bacterium
Lineage: Bacteria
Description: partial 16S ribosomal RNA
Rfam family: Bacterial small subunit ribosomal RNA
Source: RNAcentral